UACGUAGGCGGAAAAUUAAGUCAGUAGUGAAAUCCUGCAGCUUAACUGUAGAACUGUUAUUGAUACUGGUUUUCUUGAAUUUAGUUGAGGUAGGCGGAAUGUGUAAUGUAGCGGUGAAAUGCUUAGAUAUUACACAGAACACCGAUUGCGAAGGCAGCUUACUAAGCUAUGAUUGACGCUGAGGUACGAAAGCGUGGGGAGCGAACAGGAUUAGAUACCUGGUAGUCC
This 228-nucleotide ribosomal RNA is filed under the name uncultured bacterium. Its description in RNAcentral is "partial 16S ribosomal RNA". It matches the Rfam family "Bacterial small subunit ribosomal RNA", at positions 568 to 796 of the family's 1533-position model. The record is from RNAcentral.